CUUACGCCUGUUUGUGCAGCCGUUUAAUUGGUAUUCAAAAAAGUAUCUUAUAAGAAUAAAGCAAACAAGAUUCUUAUUUUAGGAUGCAUCUGCUGUAAAUUUCUAGGUUAAAUUCAACAGAAAUCUAGGAAUAUGGUUAAUAUUAACAAACAAAUGUUCAUGGACGUCCCUCAAAUGAACACACUAAGAAACAGAGGUAAUAUUUGUGGAGUGCACGACUGGUAGUUAUCCUGUGAACAUAUUCUCCCACCUGAGCUGCGGAUUUCUGCAGCUCCUCCAGAGUGACCAUGGGCCCCUUGGCUGCUUCUCUGUUCCACUUGCUCGAUCUUUCAGUCCAUUUGAUGAAAAAUCAGACCAAAACAACAGCAACGAGACCCAUGAGAGGAGGUGGGCUCGGUCCGGUUUGGAACAGAAUCACUCCGCAAUCUUGGUCAAAUAUAUUCCUGUAAAAAUGACAUGUAAUAAAGAUGUUGGUUAUAGUGUGUUGU
Molecule: long non-coding RNA, 488 nt
Organism: Astyanax mexicanus (Mexican tetra)
Lineage: Eukaryota; Metazoa; Chordata; Actinopteri; Characiformes; Acestrorhamphidae
Exons: 3
Source: RefSeq, a predicted model, not a curated record